UACAGAGGGUGCAAGCGUUGUUCGGAAUUAUUGGGCGUAAAGGGAGUGUAGGUGGUCUUUUAAGUCUUCUGUGAAAUCUACGGGCUUAGCCUGUAACGUGCAGAGGAAACUGGAAGGCUUGAGUGUCGGAGAGGAUAGGGGAAUACCCAGUGUAGAGGUGAAAUUCGUAGAGAUUGGGUGGAACACCAGUGGCGAAGGCGCCUAUCUGGCUGACAACUGACGCUGAGACUCGAAAGCAUGGGGAGCAAACAGG
RNAcentral lists this ribosomal RNA (253 nucleotides) under uncultured bacterium. RNAcentral describes it as "partial 16S ribosomal RNA". It matches the Rfam family "Bacterial small subunit ribosomal RNA", at positions 524 to 776 of the family's 1533-position model. The record is from RNAcentral.